Cebus imitator (Panamanian white-faced capuchin) is the source of this 1195-nucleotide long non-coding RNA. RefSeq lists it as uncharacterized. The record is from RefSeq and is a predicted model, not a curated record. NCBI's taxonomy places the organism in Eukaryota, Metazoa, Chordata, Mammalia, Primates, Cebidae. The transcript is spliced from 3 exons.
UUGGCAACGGAGCGGCCCUCCCUCACUCUCCCGUGGGGCCCGAGAGGGUCCAGGGGUGAGGGGAGCCAGUGGCGGCAGCCUGCCUCAGUGCGUGUUCUCCGAGCUCUUCCUGACCUUGCUGGGAGUGUGUCUGAUCAAACGUUUCCCCUGUGACUAAAUAUUUGGUCACGGCAGCAGGAGAGAAUUCCAUCAGCGGACAGCUCUAUUUUUAAGGCUCUGGCUUUGUUUUCUGUUUCCCAAGAGGCAGCCCCUGCAGCAGGCUGGAGCCUCUGACACUGACAGCCUGUCUCGUGUAAUGUUAAGCAGGCAUCGGACACUUGCUGGAAGGCAGGGAAUUGCAAUGGAAAACGGUGGAGGUGAGAGGCUGUGCUCCUCAGGGUGAAGGCAGCUUCUGUGCUCCUGAGAUCUACUGUCAAGCCAAGGUCAACAGGAAGAAAAUCUUUGAUGUACUUUAGUUCUGGAUUCAAGAGUAUUUCUGACAUCUGGGCUACAUGGCAUGUCUGGAUGUUUUUCUACUUCCUCAGACUUCCUGGAUCGAAAUUAAGCUUCUCACCUUUAACGAUCCCAGCUGUGAGCUUUUGCCUGCUAGGAACAGAGUCCCAGUUCACACAGGACCCCCAGCUACCUCAGGACCCUGGACAGAGUCCCGGCUCACAUAGGACCCCCAGCUCCCUCACACCCACUGACUGAUGAACGCCUGUGUGUUUUGUAUCGGUAACCUGAAUCAGGUAAAAGCUGCAUGGAGAGAUGGGAGGGGGCGGGCACAAGGAUUGUGGUGACAUCCCCCUGUGGGUGCGGGACCUGCAGCCUUAGGGGCAUGUGGCCUGGUGUCUGCUGUCUCCAUGCCAGGUGUUCAGGCACUGCCAUCAUCUUGGGGUCAGCAUGUAGGGCCCUGCUGGAGUUCACACUCAGCCCUACCGGGCAUCAGAUUCUGUCUGGGAUGUACUGCAGGAGUUAGAGACGUGGGUUGGAAGUGGGGCUCAGAGAUCAGAGACGAAUAUGGCUGACUGAGAAUUAGGCUGGGCUCCAGCUCUGGGUACAAUGGGUGGAAAAGUCAGAGGUGCAGCAGCUGCUCAGGAAUCUGGUGGGAAGAGGCUCAGCUCACCUGAGUGGCCAGGCCUCUAGGCCCGGCGAUGGGGACUCCAAGGCGAGCAGCCCGGAGGUGCUUCUGGUUUUCCCAUCAGCCCCGGUCAGU